Molecule: long non-coding RNA, 1048 nt
Organism: Apis mellifera (honey bee)
Lineage: Eukaryota; Metazoa; Arthropoda; Insecta; Hymenoptera; Apidae
Exons: 4
Source: RefSeq, a predicted model, not a curated record
UGCAAGAUAAAAAAAAAAAAAAAAUAGAAACGGAAAACGCCAACAAUAUUAAAAGCAGUGGCCGUUUCUCAGCAAUGACGGCCCUGCUCACGGCCUUGUUGUCUAAUGAUAGUCUUGCUAAUGAUGCGUUCGCACACGCACACGUAUAGCGGUAACGAGAGACUAUUUUACCUACCAGUUCUCUAUGGUUGGGCAUCGUUCAAGCCAGAAACAUUUAACAAUAAGUAAAUAUAUGUAUACACAAUGUGUAUAUUUGACUAUCGAAUAAUUUACACUGGCCAACAUCGGUCUUUCUUCUUCAAAAAAGUUUCUGUCUUAUUUAUUUUGGAGAGAGUUCAAAUCGCAAUCAUUCAACAUUAAAAAUCGUUCGAUUCUUAGGUAAAAAUUAAAAGUGGAAAGUGAAAAUUAAUAGUCUGUAACACACAGAAGUUCUUCUUCUUCUACAUUUGAAUAGUAAAGGGGAAAAAAACAAGUUUUUUAGAUCCUUCCCCUUAAAAAGAAAUAAAUGGAGUGGAUUAUGGUUAUCUAAGACAAAGGAAUCCUUGUAAGUUGAUGUAUGAAUACAUUGAAAUUUAAAAACAUCAUGAAAUAUGUAAGAUACUUAUUUUUUAAAUUGAUGAACGACAAAGGAUAAAGAAAAAAAAAAAUGGAAAAUAAAUAAAGGAUCUCAUCUUAAUCUUCGCGGACCUUUAUAACUAAGAAACAAUACAUCUCUAAAGACCGGAGGAGAAAAACUUGUUGUGACCCCCUUUUACAAUGUUCAAUAAAAUGAUGUUCGGUAUUCAAUAUGCUACGCUCGGUAAUAACACACUCCAUUGUCUCGAGUAACGAGAGAAUCAUCUUGACAAUAUUAAAAUAACAUAACAAAUAAAGUAAUAACAUGAUAUUGAAAUAAAAAUUGGCAGCAACGCUCCCUCUGGAGAAACACUUUGCAACUCUCUCUCUCUUAUAGAUCACGACUUCAACGAUUUCAAAAUCAAUAAAAAUGGACUGUAAUCGGUUUCUUUUUCCCUACAGUUUUCGAUUUUUAAUAGAAAAAAAAAAAAAA